Molecule: small nucleolar RNA, 87 nt
Filed under: Pogona vitticeps (central bearded dragon)
Lineage: Eukaryota; Metazoa; Chordata; Lepidosauria; Squamata; Agamidae
Description: Small nucleolar RNA SNORD11B (ENSPVIG00000001660.1)
Rfam family: Small nucleolar RNA SNORD11B
Source: Rfam by way of RNAcentral
UGAUGGCAGUGAUGAUUCUUGAUAUGAUGCAUUCCUGAUGUUCAUAGCAUGAGGGCUGCAUAGUCACUACCUCUUCUGAUGCCAUCU